GUGAAUCAUCAAAUCUUUGAACGCAAAUUGCGCCUUUUUCGGAAGGCAUGUCUGUUUGCGGGUACCAUCUAACAAAUACCGUGUAUUUCGUGUGCACACGUUGAUGAGCUUUCCAACUUUAUGUAUUAUUUUUGGUGGCGCAUAAUAUACAGCGCGAUGCUUUUUUUCAGUUUGAGUGUAGUAAAUUUUUUUUUUGCUUGGGUUGUGAUAAGUGUGACCGUGUAACGGGUGUGG
RNAcentral lists this unclassified non-coding RNA (234 nucleotides) under Paraglomus sp. RNAcentral describes it as "partial contains 5.8S ribosomal RNA and internal transcribed spacer 2". The stretch from base 1 to 65 matches the Rfam family "5.8S ribosomal RNA", at positions 84 to 154 of the family's 154-position model. The record is from RNAcentral. Lineage: Eukaryota; Fungi; Glomeromycota; Glomeromycetes; Paraglomerales; Paraglomeraceae.